CCUGGUGGCUCAGUGGUUAAGCGUUUGGCUGCUAACCAAAAUGUUGGCAGUUCAAAUCCACCAGG
RNAcentral lists this transfer RNA (65 nucleotides) under Loxodonta africana (African savanna elephant). It matches the Rfam family "tRNA". Rfam says of the family: Transfer RNA (tRNA) molecules are approximately 80 nucleotides in length. Their secondary structure includes four short double-helical elements and three loops (D, anti-codon, and T loops). Lineage: Eukaryota; Metazoa; Chordata; Mammalia; Proboscidea; Elephantidae. The record is from Rfam by way of RNAcentral.